GAUGAACGCUGGCGGCGUGCCUAAUACAUGCAAGUCGAGCGAACAGACGAGGAGCUUGCUCCUCUGACGUUAGCGGCGGACGGGGGAGUAACACGUGGAUAACCUACCUAGAAGACUGGGAUAACUUCGGGAAACCGGAGCUAAUACCGGAGAAUAUAUUGAACCGCAUGGUUCAAUAGUGAAAGACGGUUUUGCUGUCACUUAUAGAUGGAUCCGCGCCGCAUUAGCUAGUUGGUAAGGUAACGGCUUACCAAGGCAACGAUGCGUAGCCGACCUGAGAGGGUGAUCGGCCACACUGGAACUGAGACACGGUCCAGACUCCUACGGGAGGCAGCAGUAGGGAAUCUUACGCAAUGGGCGAAAGCCUGACGGAGCAACGCCGCGUGAGUGAUGAAGGUCUUCGGAUCGUAAAACUCUGUUAUUAGGGAAGAACAAAUGUGUAAGUAACUAUGCACGUCUUGACGGUACCUAAUCAGAAAGCCACGGCUAACUACGUG
Molecule: ribosomal RNA, 497 nt
Filed under: uncultured bacterium
Lineage: Bacteria
Description: partial 16S ribosomal RNA
Rfam family: Bacterial small subunit ribosomal RNA
Source: RNAcentral